This 72-nucleotide transfer RNA is filed under the name Ovis aries (sheep). It matches the Rfam family "tRNA". Rfam says of the family: Transfer RNA (tRNA) molecules are approximately 80 nucleotides in length. Lineage: Eukaryota; Metazoa; Chordata; Mammalia; Artiodactyla; Bovidae. The record is from Rfam by way of RNAcentral.
UCCCUGAUGGCUCAGAGGUUAAAGUGUCUGCCUGCAAUGCAGUAGACAUAGGUUCGAUUCCUGGGUUGGGAA